UAUUUCAAAGUUGUAUUGUGAUAGGUA
This 27-nucleotide non-coding RNA is filed under the name Bombyx mori (domestic silkworm). The record is from RNAcentral. Lineage: Eukaryota; Metazoa; Arthropoda; Insecta; Lepidoptera; Bombycidae.